RNAcentral lists this ribosomal RNA (200 nucleotides) under uncultured bacterium. RNAcentral describes it as "partial 16S ribosomal RNA". It matches the Rfam family "Bacterial small subunit ribosomal RNA", at positions 8 to 238 of the family's 1533-position model. The record is from RNAcentral.
AGAGUUUGAUCCUGGCUCAGAACGAACGCUGGCGGCAGGCCUAACACAUGCAAGUCGAGCGCCCCGCAAGGGGAGCGGCGGACGGGUGAGUAACACGUGGGAAUUUUCCUCAAGGUACGGAACAACCCAGGGAAACUUGGGCUAAUACCGUAUGAUGCCGAGAGGCCAAAGAUUUAUCGCCUUGGGAUAAGCCCGCGUCA